Molecule: non-coding RNA, 129 nt
Filed under: unidentified
Source: RNAcentral
UUAGAAUGGUAAGCUUGCAGUGAGUGCGAGGAAGCCGGUGGAAACCCGGCACGGUCACGCCACUGUAUGCGGUUCGCAUCGCAAAGAUGAGAGCCGUGAGUCAGACCCCGCUGCAAGCUCUUCUAUUAA